This 183-nucleotide small RNA is filed under the name Arabidopsis thaliana (thale cress). Its description in RNAcentral is "ATSL030020". The record is from RNAcentral. Lineage: Eukaryota; Viridiplantae; Streptophyta; Magnoliopsida; Brassicales; Brassicaceae.
UAUGUAAAUCUAUCUACAUAUAUAUUUUUGGGGAAGAUUUGUGUCGAAAAAUCCUUUUUCAAUUUCGAUAUUGUAUGUUUAGUCCCUACAAAAUCAAUCAGACAAGAUUGUCUGCGUUAGGACAAUGACCAAAUUUUUGAUGAACUAUUUACGUUUUGCACUAAUUACUUACCUAAACAAAAA